GGAUGUGAGGGCGAUCUGGCUGCAACAUCUGUCACCCCAUUGAUCUCCAGGGUUGAUUCGGCUGAUCUGGCUGGCUAGGCGGAUGUCCCCUUCCUCCCUCACCACCCCAUGUGCUUCUCUCCCAAAGCUGCACGCUUGGUCGAAGAGGAAGGCCUUCCCCAAACAGAGACUGACUGGUCUUUGGUGGAGGGUAUAAGAGUAGCUGCACUCCUCUGCUAGAACCUCCAAACAAGCUCUCAAAAGUGGUCUAAUAAAGCUUUAUUUAUAAAGCAGAAGACUGGAUUCAGGCAAUAAAUUUUGGCUUGGUGAAAACUGCUUGAAUU
Molecule: small nuclear RNA, 323 nt
Filed under: Erinaceus europaeus (western European hedgehog)
Lineage: Eukaryota; Metazoa; Chordata; Mammalia; Eulipotyphla; Erinaceidae
Description: 7SK RNA
Rfam family: 7SK RNA
About the family: 7SK was discovered as an abundant small nuclear RNA in the mid-70s but a possible function has only recently been suggested. Two independent studies have found that 7SK RNA binds the CDK9/cyclin T complex (known as elongation factor P-TEFb).
Source: Rfam by way of RNAcentral